GAUGAACGCUGGCGGCGCGCCUAACACAUGCAAGUCGAACGGCACCCACCUCCGGGUGGAAGCGAGUGGCGAACGGCUGAGUAACACGUGGAGAACCUGCCCCCUCCCCCGGGAUAGCCGCCCGAAAGGACGGGUAAUACCGGAUACCCCGAGGUGCCGCAUGGCACCCCGGCUAAAGCCCCGACGGGAGGGGAUGGCUCCGCGGCCCAUCAGGUAGACGGCGGGGUGACGGCCCACCGUGCCGACAACGGGUAGCCGGGUUGAGAGACCGACCGGGCAGAUUGGGACGGAGACACGGCCCAGACUACUACGGGAGGCAGCAGUGGGGAGUCUUGGGCAAUGGGGGGAACCCUGACGCAGCGACGCCGCGUGCGGGACGGAGGCCUUCGGGUCGUAAACCGCUUUCAGCAGGGAAGAGAAGAGACUGUACCUGCAGAAGAAGCCCCGGCUAACUACGUGCCAGCAGCCGCAGUAA
This 475-nucleotide ribosomal RNA is filed under the name uncultured bacterium. Its description in RNAcentral is "partial 16S ribosomal RNA". It matches the Rfam family "Bacterial small subunit ribosomal RNA", at positions 28 to 523 of the family's 1533-position model. The record is from RNAcentral.